CUGUAAGGUAACAAUUGCAGGUUAAAACCAGUGAAUGAUUUAACAUCAUGAAGUCCAUCGUUGCAAGUAAAUGGUUAAAAUGCACGUAUAGUGACAAUUAUUAGCGAAUCUCUUCAGACAAUACAGUAUGGUGGCGAUUAACCUAUAUUAUCACAGCCUUUUGCUUUAUUAAACAUCCUGUGCGUCACUCCCUCUUCCACGCAGAUCUUUCUGCAGAAGCCCUUCCAGUUCUUGGAAGGAGAGAAAGGUGCUGUGAUUUUUAUUUUUAUUUUUUCGUGGUCGUACGUCGUUUUCUAAUAAAUUGCGAACUUAAUGCUUAAUUUAUUCUCUCGUAGCUGGCUACGGACUAUAUAAACAUCAUGGGUGACGGCAAAUGCGAGUUAAUAUCCGGGCACAGUUUCGCAUUGGCAAAAACAUCGACCGCUGGAGCACUGAAACUUUAGAGAAAAACUGUGGUUUGAACUGAGAAUCGGCUAACGUCUGGAGACUCCACAGAGCUUCAUUCAGAACAUGUGAACUCACCCUCGUGGAUGUUUAACGGGAUUCUUUAAGGAUCGAGAUCAUCUCGUCCGCUCCUCUCGCGCAGAAGCUCGUCUGAAUCAACGUCACGCGUCUAUCAAUGUCGUGUGCUUUUUAAUUUUUUAAUUUUGUUUAUUUUUUUAUUUUAUUUUUGUCGCGCUCAGUGUUUUUUUUUUUGAAAUACUCAAAGGAUUUAAUCGGACAUAAACAUUUCCAGUUGCAUGAGGACCAACAUCGUUCUUUCUUAACUAACAGCGGAAAGCUUUGCCCAACACCUGGUUGUCUAAUGGUUAGAUGGAAACCUGGAGAGGCCUACAAGCCACCCACUGUGAAAUUUGGUGGAGGAUCGGUGAUGAGCUGUGGUCCUUCAGAAAGGCUGGAAUUGGGCACAUUGGUCUUUGUGAAGGGCGCAUGAAUCAAGCCAUUUAUAAGGUUGUCCUGGAAUAAAACAUGCUUCUUUCUUCUCUGGCAAUGUUCCCCAACUCUGAGGAUUGUUUUUCCAGCAGCACAAUGCUCCAUGCCACACAGCCAGGUCAUUCAAGGUAUGGAUGGAGGACCACCAGCCCAAUCUCCAGACCUGAACCCCACUGAAAACCUCUGAUGUGAUCAAAAAGAAGAUGGACAGUCACAAGCCAUCAAACAAUGGCCAGCUGCUUGAAUUUUUGCACCAGGAGUGUCAUAAAGUCGCCCAAAAGACUAGUGGAGAGCAUGCAAAGACGCACGAAAGCUGUAAUUCAGAAUCAGGGUUAUUCCACCAAAUAUUGAUUUUUGAACUCCUAAUGUUAAAACACUAGUAAUGUGUUGCUUAAAAAUGAAUAUGAACUUGUUGUCUUUGCAUUAUUUGAGGUCCAAAAAUUAUCUGCAAUUUAUUCUGCAUUUAUUCUACAAUUCAAUGCUCUAACUGACAAUGUUUAUUUGGAAUUUGGGAAAAAUGUUGUCAGUAGUUUAUGGAAUAAAACAAAAAUGCUCAUUUUACCCAAACAUACUUGAUAAACAUAAUUUUGCAGUGGUCUCCUAAUUUUAUUUAUUUUUCUCCAAAACUGCUAUAUAGUGAGUUAUAAAUUAUAUACACUGGACUCCACAGGUUAUCCUCACUAAUUCAAUGCAU
Molecule: long non-coding RNA, 1627 nt
Organism: Cyprinus carpio carpio
Lineage: Eukaryota; Metazoa; Chordata; Actinopteri; Cypriniformes; Cyprinidae
Source: Ensembl